UCUCUGCUGGUACGUACGCUACUGUCCUUCGGAGUAUCUCGCGUCGGUGGUUCUUAAAUCUAUAGAGUUUUCAAAAUGCAAGCCUGACAACAAAGAUCUGGUUAAUUCCGUUGAGUGGCGCUAGGCGAGCCUCUUAGCAGGGCCAGAGCAGCUCGCGCGUUGUUGUUCGCGUCUCACCGCAGCGUCCUGCGUCAGUCGCGCAGCGAGUCUAUCUCUUUCUCUCUGUCUGUCUGUCUGUCUGUCUCUGCUCGAAGGGCGUCGUUCGUUGGCUUACUUUCUCCGGCCGAUUUCGGUAUCUGCAAUUGAAGCUGCAAUUUUGUUGCAAUGAUCGUCGCUGGUGGUAGCACGUGCCGCUGGUGGUACAACGUGUACGCGCUUUUGACGAUAUUCCUGUUGCUGGUAGAAACAGGGCAUAGCAUCCGAUGUUAUCAAUGCAAUAGCACCAGCAACGAUUACCCGUUCCAGUGUAACGAGGUUCUGUCGGGCGACGUGGAUUUGCAGCCGAAAGCGUGCGAUGACGUUUACGGGGCGCAAUAUUGCGUUAAGCACACAGGCCGUUUCGAGGCGGUCACUCUGGAUUGCUACCAAUGCACAUCAGAGGAUGAAUGGAAAUGUAUGGAUGGUGAAUUGGUUGAAAAUUCCCUGAUGCCGACCAAUUGCAGUCAUAUUUAUGGAGCACGUUAUUGCAUCAAAUCGGUCGGCCGUUACGGAGGUUCUUAUCAAGUCAAGUUUCGCUUUCGUAGGUGCAGAAAUGCCCCAGAUAGGAUAGAAAAGGAGACCACAGGUGCAGGAAAUAAACAAACAGCGCGACACAGCGUUGUUGCAGCGUUGUAUAUUGUUGAUGACUCCUCAGAUGAAGAUUUUAUUUUACCAUACUGUCCACAUCUCUGUUACACGCAAAAUCUCUCUGAGAUGAAGAACAUGAUGGGAAUAUACUGUUACUUCAUAAUGGCAUAAUUGAUUAUAUAUAAUAUUAGUAAAGUAAAAACUGCACAAGUAUCUAACAGCCUGUGGCAUCGGUACAAAACGAUUUUGCUCAGCUGUACACAUGGGAGAUUAUUGCGACUACGUAAAACAGCCAGGCGACAAGUUGACAUAUCGCACCUGCGUGUUCACGUGUUCCAGCGACGGUUGCAAUCCAGCGUCGUCCUUAAUGCC
RNAcentral lists this unclassified non-coding RNA (1158 nucleotides) under Harpegnathos saltator (Jerdon's jumping ant). Its description in RNAcentral is "omega-scoloptoxin-Ssm1a, transcript variant X7". The record is from RNAcentral. Lineage: Eukaryota; Metazoa; Arthropoda; Insecta; Hymenoptera; Formicidae.